GAACAGGAGAUUUGGAUCAAUUAGAAUAGAAAAUCCAACUGAGAUUGAACAUAGGGCAUGCUGUCUGGUUACCUUGGCAACUUAGCUCCCCUUCCUGGGCUACUGUUGGUUCAGCGUGAGUCAGGAAAUAAUUGGAGGUAGAGAGGCAUGUGUGCGAGUUAACUCCUACUACUGGGAAGGUGAGGGAGGCAUUUGCUGAAGGCCAAGGAUGACGUCAUAAAGGGAAGGUUGUGAAUAAACAAAAAUGAGAGCAAUGUCAUUUAAACAAUAUCCUCCCUGAGGCCUGGCUUUUAUAUCCUAAGGUGAUACGAAAACUUCUAAGGGAGAAAAGCAAGCAAUAAUCCUAUCCAGCUGUCCACACAGAAGGAAGGACAUGGGCUGGCCUGCUGUCCACACAGAAGGAAGGACAUGGGCUGGCCUGCUGUCCACACAGAAGGAAGGACAUGGGCUGGCUUGCCAGGGGCUGAUUUAAACUGAUAGAAGCUGAGGACACCUGGCCUCGAACUCCCAGACAUCUGUCUGUGUCUGCCUCCCCAAGUGUUGGGAUCAAAGACUUGCACUGCCACCCCAGGCCUGAUUCACUGUCUUUUAAAAUAGGGCGUUUGUGUCAUGAAAAUAUGAAGAAAGAAGCACCCAUCCAGAAUGGCUGGAGAAUUUCUGUAGAAAGUGCACAGAUAUGUUCUCCUCAACUCCUGUAGUGAUUUUGUUUGCUGCCCGACGUUCUUCUGAAUCUUAUCUGCUCUGCUGAUGGCAUGAAGCGUCACAAUUCUACAGAUAUAAAUGGACGAUGGGCCGAGAACUCGUCUCAGGCGCAGGGGUGUCUUAUGGCGUUCACUGGGACCGAUCUUCCCACUGAGGAAUUUUUCCCUGGGAGACUUUGUCUUAGUUGAGGGUUCCAGUCCUGCGAUGAAACACCAUAACCAAAAAGUAAAUUG
Molecule: long non-coding RNA, 935 nt
Organism: Mastomys coucha (southern multimammate mouse)
Lineage: Eukaryota; Metazoa; Chordata; Mammalia; Rodentia; Muridae
Exons: 2
Source: RefSeq, a predicted model, not a curated record